RNAcentral lists this ribosomal RNA (468 nucleotides) under uncultured bacterium. RNAcentral describes it as "partial 16S ribosomal RNA". It matches the Rfam family "Bacterial small subunit ribosomal RNA", at positions 28 to 507 of the family's 1533-position model. The record is from RNAcentral.
GACGAACGCUGGCGGCGUGCUUAACACAUGCAAGUCGAACGGAAAGGCCCUGCUUUUGUGGUGUGCUCGAGUGGCGAACGGGUGAGUAACACGUGAGUAACCUGCCCUUGACUUUGGGAUAACUUCAGGAAACUGGGGCUAAUACCGGAUAGGAGCCCCUGCUGCAUGGUGGGGGUUGGAAAGUUUCGGCGGUUGGGGAUGGACUCGCGGCUUAUCAGCUUGUUGGUGGGGUAGUGGCUUACCAAGGCUUUGACGGGUAGCCGGCCUGAGAGGGUGACCGGCCACAUUGGGACUGAGAUACGGCCCAGACUCCUACGGGAGGCAGCAGUGGGGAAUAUUGCACAAUGGGCGGAAGCCUGAUGCAGCAACGCUGCGUGCGGGAUGACGGCCUUCGGGUUGUAAACCGCUUUCGCCUGUGACGAAGCGUGAGUGACGGUAAUGGGUAAAGAAGCACCGGCUAACUACGUG